This 267-nucleotide long non-coding RNA is filed under the name Ananas comosus (pineapple). Its description in RNAcentral is "long non-coding RNA (ACOM_LNC032090)". Lineage: Eukaryota; Viridiplantae; Streptophyta; Magnoliopsida; Poales; Bromeliaceae. The record is from RNAcentral.
CGAACUGAUAUAUUUUUAGCGAGCGGAAACAAAAAAUUCAUCCAUACGAAGACAAAAUUGUUCACAUCCCCGACUCAUUCGAGACGGAUCCCUGCAAGAAAUUGAGUCAGGGAAAAAAAAAUUAUCAUCUCUACAUAUAUCUGACAGCGUACUUAAGAAUAUUUUGUCUCAAAAUUAACUAAAAUAUUUUUUAAUUUUUUUAAAAUAUUUUAUUUAUUAUUUCUACAAAUACUUAAAUGAUACAUAGUUUGAAUCUAAUUUUUAUAC